UACGAAGGGGGCUAGCGUUGCUCGGAAUCACUGGGCGUAAAGGGUGCGUAGGCGGGUCUUUAAGUCAGGGGGGAAAUCCUGGAGCUCAACUCCAGAACUGCCUUUGAUACUGAAGAUCUUGAGUUCGGGAGAAGUGAGUGGAACUGCGAGUGUAGAGGUGAAAUUCGUAGAUAUUCGCAAGAACACCAGUGGCGAAGGCGGCUCUCUGGGACGGUACUGACGCUGAGACGCGAAAGCGUGGGGAGCGAACAGG
This 253-nucleotide ribosomal RNA is filed under the name uncultured bacterium. RNAcentral's name for it is "partial 16S ribosomal RNA". It matches the Rfam family "Bacterial small subunit ribosomal RNA", at positions 524 to 776 of the family's 1533-position model. The record is from RNAcentral.